UUUAAUUUCAACCAAGAAAAACAUUGCGUCAAACAAGGAAAUAUUACAUUUUAAUUUUUCCUAUCUUCAGUCAGUGUCAGCAAUCAGGUCAAAGCAUGAUUCAUGGUGCCAGUAGUCCUCCAGUGACAGGAAAUUGAAAACACCCAUAAAAAGAAGGAUCGCUAGGAAAUGCUGUAUUUCUUCAGGGCUAGUCUUGAUUUUAUCCCCCAGCUCUUGAGCAGAGUACAAAUUGGUGUGAUGUGUGAUACGUUCAAUCAUCUCAUUAGUGAAGAACAUUUUGAAAUACUGAAAGGGUUAGGUGAGGGCAGAGCUUCAGGGGGUUCAAAUCUUGAAUUCAGAAUCUGGAACUCAUCAAUGUCUUCCUGCUUCCAGAUUCUUCUUGGGCUUUUGUUGUAGUCUGAGGUGUAAUUUGGGUCUGCGUUGUCAUUUUGCUGCUCCAAGGGAACUUCUUCUUGGUCAUCAUUGCUCAGAACACCAUCAGAUUCUUGAGGAUUUUUUGGUAAAAUGGCAAGAAGACUGCGUGGUCUCACAACUUAGAAGGAUUUAUUGUAAAUAGUGGUGGUUGAAAAGUUUAAAUUAGUUAGUAGUAGUGAAAAUCAUAAUUUCCCCACAUUUAUUCUAAAAUGUUACCAUAUUUACUAAUAUCAACUCAGAAAGUCACAAAAAAAGUGUAAGAUAUUGUUGUAAUUAUUCUUAGUGUAUGACACUGUAAUAACACUUGCUUCAUAUUUGCACCAGUAGAGGAAAAUGACUUUUGAUUUUAUACCAAAAAAAUAAAUGUCAACUACAUUAGCUUAAUUUGCUACUUUUACCAUUAAGUGACAUCUCAACCGUUUGGUUGAGCAUAUUUU
Molecule: long non-coding RNA, 851 nt
Organism: Poecilia latipinna (sailfin molly)
Lineage: Eukaryota; Metazoa; Chordata; Actinopteri; Cyprinodontiformes; Poeciliidae
Exons: 2
Source: RefSeq, a predicted model, not a curated record